Molecule: non-coding RNA, 90 nt
Organism: Clostridium sp. CAG:914
Lineage: Bacteria; Bacillati; Bacillota; Clostridia; Eubacteriales; Clostridiaceae
Source: Rfam
GUGAAGUCUUAUCAAAUCUAAGUAUUACAAUUAGUAUUGAGAGAGAAACUCAAGUGAUAAGAGGCAAAACUAAUUACUGAUAAUUUUUAG